AAGUACCCAGUAAGGUGAGUACAUGUCUGAGUUCUCAGAACCCCACCAAGCCUCGUCCGAUGACAGCUGGUCCCCGGCCAAAGUGGGUAAGGAACAUGCAGGCUAUUAUCAGGGAGAGAAACAGGCAGGGUGGCAUCAGGGGAGGUAAGAGAACUGCUGGACGCCCAAAAGGUGAACCUGCAGCCAAGCGCUCCUUUAACUCUUAGAUAGUCUCUCUUCAGUUUCUGUUCUGCAAAUGUAAAAUGUCAGGUCCUUUGGAAAAAUGUGGCGCAGCAGGAAAGAUAUUUUGCACUGGAUUCUGCUUGGUUGUUUUUUCUUUGCUUCCAGGACAAGGAUUAAACAUAAGACCCCAGAGGACCCCAAAAGCAGACAAGACAAGUGAAGGCGAACAGAUGAGAGAAGAAAUUAGAAACAGAUCCAGGAUCAGAACAUGAGAUGAACGACUUGCAGAAGGUUUACCAAAGAGAUUUGUCCUCCAUGAGGUGAGCGACAGCCCCUGGGUGACAAAAGAAAUUAGAAGCAGACCCAGGAUCAGAACUUGAGAUGAACAACAACUCGACAAACAAAGCAAUCCAAAACGGCCAAAAGACCCCAAGGAUAAGAGGCGAGAUGAGGACCAGCCCCAAGAUGUGAAGCCAGGCCCAGAGAGACAAGGGAGCCCAAGUCGCAGGGACACGGAAGAACAAAGUGAGGCACAGAGACCCGAGAAGACGAAAAAGCAGAAAGAACAGGGAGGAGCCACAGGAUGACAGAAGAGAUGAGAAUCAGCUCCCAAAAGACCCGAGAUGAGGAUGGAACCAAAUUCGAGAUGGAACCAAAUUCCACCCCCAGCCCCACCCCUCUCUCUCUCCUUCUCUCUCUCUCUCAACCCAACCGGUCAAGGCAGAUGGCGGCCCACCUAGAGCCGGGGUCUGCUCCGAGGUUUCUGCCUUCCAAAAGGCAGUUU
Molecule: long non-coding RNA, 946 nt
Organism: Scatophagus argus
Lineage: Eukaryota; Metazoa; Chordata; Actinopteri; Scatophagidae
Exons: 4
Source: RefSeq, a predicted model, not a curated record